UAGGGAAUCUUCGGCAAUGGACGAAAGUCUGACCGAGCAACGCCGCGUGAGUGAAGAAGGUUUUCGGAUCGUAAAACUCUGUUGUUAGAGAAGAACAAGGACGUUAGUAACUGAACGUCCCCUGACGGUAUCUAACCAGAAAGCCACGGCUAACUACGUGCCAGCAGCCGCGGUAAUACGUAGGUGGCAAGCGUCGUUCGGAUUUAUUGGGCGUAAAGCGAGCGCAGGCGGUUUCUUAAGUCUGAUGUGAAAGCCCCCGGCUCAACCGGGGAGGGUCAUUGGAAACUGGGAGACUUGAGUGCAGAAGAGGAGAGUGGAAGUCGAGGUGUAGCGGUGAAAUGCGUAGAUAUAUGGAGGAACACCAGUGGCGAAGGCGGCUCUCUGGUCUGUAACUGACGCUGAGGCUAGAAGGCGUGGGGAGCAAAGAGG
Molecule: ribosomal RNA, 429 nt
Filed under: Gemmatimonadota bacterium
Lineage: Bacteria; Pseudomonadati; Gemmatimonadota
Description: Gemmatimonadetes bacterium partial 16S ribosomal RNA
Rfam family: Bacterial small subunit ribosomal RNA
Source: RNAcentral